GAUGAACGCUGGCGGGCGUGCUUAACACAUUCAAGUCGAACGGUGAAGUGACUUCGGUCAUGGAUCAGUGGCGGACGGGUGAGUAACGCGUGAGCAACCUGCCUCUGUUUGUGGGAUAACGUUUGGAAACGAACGCUAAUACCGCAUAAUGUAUCUUGAUCGCAUGUUUGGGAUACCAAAGAUUUAUUGAACAGAGAUGGGCUCGCGUCCGAUUAGAUAGUUGGUGAGGUAACGGCUCACCAAGUCGACGAUCGGUAGCCGGACUGAGAGGUCGAACGGCCACAUUGGAACUGAGAAACGGUCCAG
This 306-nucleotide ribosomal RNA is filed under the name uncultured bacterium. RNAcentral's name for it is "bacterial SSU rRNA". It matches the Rfam family "Bacterial small subunit ribosomal RNA", at positions 28 to 334 of the family's 1533-position model. The record is from RNAcentral.